Molecule: ribosomal RNA, 523 nt
Filed under: Clistopyga recurva
Lineage: Eukaryota; Metazoa; Arthropoda; Insecta; Hymenoptera; Ichneumonidae
Description: eukaryotic LSU rRNA
Rfam family: Eukaryotic large subunit ribosomal RNA
Source: RNAcentral
UCUUGAAACACGGACCAAGGAGUCUAACAUGUGCGCGAGUCAUUGGGAACUAUUAAGCCUAAAGGCGCAAUGAAAGUGAAGGUCGGCCUUGCGCCGACCGAGGGAGGAUGGGCCGCGUCACGAUGCGGUCCCGCACUCCCGGGGCGUCUCGUUCUCAUUGCGAGAAGAGGCGCACCCAGAGCGUACACGUUGGGACCCGAAAGAUGGUGAACUAUGCCUGGUCAGGACGAAGUCAGGGGAAACCCUGAUGGAGGUCCGUAGCGAUUCUGACGUGCAAAUCGAUCGUCGGAACUGGGUAUAGGGGCGAAAGACUAAUCGAACCAUCUAGUAGCUGGUUCCCUCCGAAGUUUCCCUCAGGAUAGCUGGCACUCGCUCUUAUACGAGUCUCAUCUGGUAAAGCGAAUGAUUAGAGGCCUUGGGGCCGAAACGACCUCAACCUAUUCUCAAACUUUAAAUGGGUGAGAUCUCUGGCUUGCUUGAACGGUGAAGCCACGAGAUUUCGGAUCAGAGUGCCAAGUGGGCC